This 253-nucleotide ribosomal RNA is filed under the name uncultured bacterium. RNAcentral's name for it is "partial 16S ribosomal RNA". It matches the Rfam family "Bacterial small subunit ribosomal RNA", at positions 524 to 776 of the family's 1533-position model. The record is from RNAcentral.
UACGUAGGGGGCUAGCGUUGUCCGGAAUCAUUGGGCGUAAAGCGCGUGUAGGCGGUCCGGUAAGUCCGCUGUGAAAGUCGGGGGCUCAACCCUCGGAUGCCGGUGGAUACUGUCGGGCUUGAGUACGGAAGAGGCGAGUGGAAUUCCGGGUGUAGCGGUGAAAUGCGCAGAUAUCAGGAGGAACACCAAUGGCGAAGGCAGCUCGCUGGGACGUUACGGACGCUGAGACGCGAAAGCCAGGGGAGCGAACGGG